CGCCUCUUGACACAACAUAGGAGGUCCAGCCUGCCCAGUGACAGAGUUCAACGGCUACGGUACCCUGACCGUACGAAGGUAGCAUAAUCACUUGUUCCUUAAAUGGGGACUUGUAUCAACGGCAUCACGAGGGCUGCACUGUCUCCUUUCUUCAAUCAGUGAAACUGAUCCCCCCGUGAAGAAGCGGGGAUGAAAUUAUAAGACGAGAAGACCCCAUGGAGCUUUAAAUAAUACAGCCACACUAUAUCAAAAUAUCCUCUUACUAAAAGUCCUGACUGUAAAUUUUAGGUUGGGGAGACCGCGGAGAACAACUAAACCUCCACGACAGACGGCCUAAGCCCUUAUCCACGAAUAACACUUCUAAGAAUCAGUACUCUGAUGUUAUUGACCCGAUAUUAUUCGACUGACGAACCAAGUUACCCUGGGGAUAACAGCGCAAUCUACUUUGAGAGCCCAUAU
This is a ribosomal RNA of 459 nucleotides. It matches the Rfam family "Bacterial large subunit ribosomal RNA", at positions 1829 to 2505 of the family's 2925-position model.